Non-coding RNA from Pelodiscus sinensis (Chinese soft-shelled turtle), 693 nucleotides. Lineage: Eukaryota; Metazoa; Chordata; Testudines; Trionychidae. The record is from the annotation of a RefSeq genome assembly.
GAGCCAGAGGCAGCAGCAGCCAUGUUGUGGCUCCGUUGUCUUUGCGUCAUGGCCGGGUGCCUCCUGUCAGGUUCCACGGCCGCGAUCACCUUAACCCAGCCCCCUUCUGCCCAGGCAGCGCCCGGCGGGUCCCUCACCCUGGACUGUGUCGUUGCCGGGUACAACAUCAAUGACCAUCAUUUGCACUGGAUACGACAGGCCCCCGGGGAAGGUCUGGUCUGGCUGGCAGCCUUCAGAACCGGUUACACCACCCACGUCGCGCAGGCGUUCCAAGGGCGGCUCACCCCCUCCACCAGCGGCUCCACUGCCCGGCUGAGGGUCGACAGACUGACAGCUGCCGACACGGCCACCUACUACUGUGCAAGAGAGUCACAGUGCUCCCUUCGCAGCUUCCUCUCCUACAGUAACCUCAUGGGCCUGGGUUCUCCUGCCUCUGCCUGAAAUCCAGCCCCUUGCCCGAGCCUGCGCCUGGGAAAGCUCCCAGAGAAGCCCCUAAAAUAAGGCCUGGGGGUUAAACAGGCUGCGGGGGGAGUCCCCUGCAUGGGGGAGAACGUCUCUCCCAAGAAAUUAAUCUUGCAGCGUUACCCUCAAACACAGCCUCAGGCAGCACCGUCAGCUCCUGGCUAGAGCGCUGGGCUAGGAAUCCGGCCCGUCGAGUUCUCUGCUAUUGCUCUGUGGGGUGGCCUGAGGUAA